UGAUUAACAAACUUGGAGCCUAUUUAUGC
Molecule: non-coding RNA, 29 nt
Filed under: Mus musculus (house mouse)
Lineage: Eukaryota; Metazoa; Chordata; Mammalia; Rodentia; Muridae
Source: RNAcentral